GACAGAAAUCCACUUCAUCCUUCCAACAGGCAAGCAAGUCCAGUGGAUUUGUACCCUUCCAGUGUCCUACUUCAAAGCUGCUUAGAAAAAUACGCCAUUUGCAAAAUCUGAGGCGCCAUCAUGAUCGUUGUGAGGAUCGUUAUGAGAAGGCUAAAAAAGAGAUAGCUGAGAGACAGAGGUCAAUCUUAAAAGGAAGACUGCCUUACCUGCAGGGGAAAGGGCUGGAUGACAUUGAG
Long non-coding RNA from Coregonus clupeaformis (lake whitefish), 236 nucleotides. RefSeq lists it as uncharacterized. The transcript is spliced from 3 exons. NCBI's taxonomy places the organism in Eukaryota, Metazoa, Chordata, Actinopteri, Salmoniformes, Salmonidae. The record is from RefSeq and is a predicted model, not a curated record.